AGUUGAUCUUUGCCUUCAUUCUCUUGAUCCCAAU
Molecule: small RNA, 34 nt
Filed under: Arabidopsis thaliana (thale cress)
Lineage: Eukaryota; Viridiplantae; Streptophyta; Magnoliopsida; Brassicales; Brassicaceae
Description: ATSL176690
Source: RNAcentral